Molecule: ribosomal RNA, 1477 nt
Filed under: uncultured Bordetella sp.
Lineage: Bacteria; Pseudomonadati; Pseudomonadota; Betaproteobacteria; Burkholderiales; Alcaligenaceae
Description: partial 16S-23S ribosomal RNA intergenic spacer
Rfam family: Bacterial small subunit ribosomal RNA
Source: RNAcentral
AGUUCGAUCAUGGCUCAGAUUGAAACUGGCGGAUGCUUUACACAUGCAAGUCGAACGGCAGCACGGACUUCGGUCUGGUGGCGAGUGGCGAACGGGUGAGUAAUGUAUCGAACGCCUAGUAGCGGGGGAUAACUACGCGAAAGCGUAGCUAAUACCGCAUACGCCCUUCGGGGAAAGCGGGGGACCUUCUCGGGCCUCGUACUAUUAGAGCGGCCGAUAUCGGAUUAGCUAGCUGGUGGGGUAACGGCUCACCAAGGCGACGAUCCGUAAGCCCGGUUUGCGAGGACGACUACCACACUGGGACUGAGACACGGCCCAGACUCCUACGGAGGCAGCAGUGGGGAAUUUUGGAGGUCGGGGGAAACCCCUGAUCCGUCAUCCCGCGUGUAAAUGACAAAGGCCUUCGGGUUGUAAAGCACUUUUUGGCAGGAAAGAAACGGCACGGGAUAAUACCCUGUGCAAAUCGAUCCGCUGUACCUGCAGAAUAAGCACCGGCUAACUACGUGCCAGCAGCUGCGGUAAUACGUAGGUAAGCGUUAACUGGAAUUACUGGGCGUAAAAGCGCGCAGGCGGUUCGGAAAGAAAGAUGUAAAUCCCAGAGUCAACUUUGGAACUGCAUUUUUAACUACCGAGCUUAUGUGUCGAUAGGUGUGGAAUUCCGCGUAGCAGUGAAAUGCAGGGAUAUGCGGAGGAACACCGAUGGCGAAGGCAGCUCUCCAAUAACACUGACGCUCAUGCACGAGCGUGGGGAGCAAACAGGAUUAGAUAAUUCUGGUAGUCCACGCCCUAAACGAGUCAACUAGCUGUUGGGGCCUUCGGCCUUCGUAGCGCAGCUAACGCGCAGUUGACCGCCUGGGGAGGCCGGUCGCAAGAUUAAAACUCAAAGGAAUUGACGGGACCCGCACAAGCGGUGCGGAUGAUGGAUUAAUCUGAUGCAACGCGAAAAACCUUACCUACCCUGAUGAUGUCUGAAUCCCGAAGAGAUUGGGAGUGCUCGCAAGAGAACCGGAACACAGGUGCUGCAUGGCUGUCGCCGCUCGUGUCGUGAGAUAAGUCGGGCGUUGUCAAGUCCCGCAACGAGCGCAACCCUUGUCAUUACUGUUACGAAAGGGCACUCUCAUCGAGACUGCCGGUGACAAACCGAGGAAGGUGGGGAUGACGUCGUCCUCAUGGCUCCGGCGGCAGCGGGCUUCACAUCGUCAUAAUGGUCGGGACAGAGGUCGCUAACCCCGCGAGGGGGAGCCACAAAUCCCAGAAACCUGAUCGUAGUCCGGAUCGCAGUCUGCAACUCGACUGCGCAGGCUGGAAUUGCUAGUAAUCGCGGAUCAGCAUGUCGCGGUGAAUACGUUCCCGGGUCUUGUACACACCGCCCGUCACACCAUGGGAGUGGGUUUUACCAGAAGUAGUUAGCCUAACCGUAAGGAGGGCGAUUACCAUUGCAGGAUUCAUAUGACCGGGGUGAAGUCGUAACAAGGUA